Molecule: long non-coding RNA, 1729 nt
Filed under: Rattus norvegicus (Norway rat)
Lineage: Eukaryota; Metazoa; Chordata; Mammalia; Rodentia; Muridae
Description: long non-coding RNA NONRATT015996
Source: RNAcentral
UGGUGACAAAGCCCUACUUGAGCACAGAAGGCAGGCUUUCGAUAGAAAUGGGUAAGAAAUUCACAGCCAAAGCUAUUUGGAAAUGCAGACGAAAACUUCUCUCAUAUGACCUCUUGAGGGACAACACCACACACUCUCCUUUGAUCAACUGUCCACUGUCACUUUUUAGCCCAAAUCUCUACAACAGGUCCCGUCUUCCGCUUCCCCAGAAGGCUGUGAGCUCCCAGCCUUGUGUCUAGUUUCUGAGACAGCCUGCUCUCCCAAGCAACCCUCCAUCGGGACAGCACUUCCUGGUGGGUGGGUAUCUGUUUUACCUCUGGAAUCUUCAUGUGCAUGGAAGGAGGGGUCAGCAGGACGUUCCCACGGGGCCAGCUGUCAGCUAGAUGACCUUCUAGUCUCUUGCUGAGCGCCCCUCCCCCCCAGGCCCAUCCUUUCACACAUCUUUGAAAUCUGAAGCCUCCUUGUAGAUUUGCAGCCUGUGAUAACAACCAGCAUAAGGCCCAUAUUUAAACAGCAUUCUCUUUUUAAGCGCCUCUGUCUUGUUGGAGGGCCUCUUUGCUUAUUUUAAGCUUUUCUUGCAUGACCACAGCCCUGGGGCUUCCAGAGAAAAGGAAACUUCUGUUUCCACUAAUCAUUAUGUUCAGAGAUGGCCCUGCUCCCUGGAGGCCCUGCUGCCUCCCUUUCCCUAGCACAUUCCCUGAUGGGCUCUGGGAGAUCAAAUUCUGUGAAAAGCUCCUUGAUUAGCAUAAGCCAUUAAUCCGCUGUCCCCAUCAAGUAAUGAAGGCUUGGUAGAGGGAGGGACAGCCUAGAGCUAAGAUAGAUGAAAGCUGCAGAAAGAAAGUGGUUCCCUGCAGAUAAUCCAAGUGCCCAGAGCCUGGGCAUCAAGGUUUAUGGGAGCAAGAACCACAGAGCUGACCAGAAUAGGGAGGCAUGACGAUUUGAAAGACACCAACAAAGUGGGACCAGAACAGAACUCACUUCUGUUUCUCACCCCGGGAAACAAACCUGUAUUUCCAAAGCUGAAGAAGGUAUUUCUAGUCUUCCAUGAAGGCUCAUUUCUCUCUCCUGUGUGCACCACCAUUGUCUUCUUUUUAAAAAGGCAUGUUUGGGGCCCAGAGCAGAUCUUCUGGUUGAAUGUGGCAUGCAGCAAAAUUGCUACAAAAGUAAGACAUGAAUCCCUAUCUUCCCAGUCAAAAGGAAAGCAUAUGUCUACAAAGGCACUGCUUUCUCUACUCUGACUUGGUGUCAGAGUGACCUCACGGGAUAGUCUUCACUCUCAAAUUGUCUCUGCUCUCUGUCUUAUAGUCUAGCUACAUCAAGUGCAUUCCAAACUGCAAGGCAUAGUUAUUCAGAAUUGUAUCUGGACGAUGGGUUGGGUCAGCAAGGGAUGACCCAGCAGAACCCUUCUUUAUAAGACCAUCUGCCAUCUGUCUCCUUCGGAAGAACCAUUCCUGUCACCUACCCCAAGCUUCCCAGGUGGCCCAAGAAGGAUCUCUUCUAUAAUCUCCUGGACAAUCGGUGGUCACAAACCUUCUUGGUCACCAUCUUUCCCACUUCCCACACAUUUCCCUCAGCCUCCUCACUGUACAUAGCCUUUACUCGCCAUGAUGGUAUCCCCGUUGCUUCUCAAACAUGUUCUGUGGUUUUUCAGGUAGAAUUAGAGGUUUGGAAACAACCAUGAGAUUCAACAGAAGCCCCGGUUAUAUGAGUGUCACCAGCCUGGACACCA